RNAcentral lists this long non-coding RNA (5219 nucleotides) under Homo sapiens (human). RNAcentral's name for it is "HSALNT0196859". The record is from RNAcentral. Lineage: Eukaryota; Metazoa; Chordata; Mammalia; Primates; Hominidae.
UUUCUCCCCAAAGAGAUGAUGUUUCCCAAUAGCGCAUGCAGGUGGACCCUAACCUGGCACACACAGGCCCUCUUGGCCCUCCAGCACUGGUGCCUGGGCUCUACCAUUUGAUUGCACCCGUGUCUGUCUGUGCUAGGGCUCUGUCCUGGUCCUGUCACCCCUGAGGUAUCCUUGGAGCAUAGGGAUGCCAAAGAGCCCCAUGUGAUCUUGUCAACUCUGGGUAAACUCAAGAGGCUCCUUGGGUUUCUGAGCUGAGGGCCAAGGCAGCCCAUGUCUGGGCUUCAUUACAAAGAAAAGUGGCAAUCAAUGGGCAAUGUCCAUUAGGAGUUUUUGGAAAGGGGAUCUGGGGCGACAAACCUAGAAAGGGAUGAGGCAAAUAGUACAUCGCUGCCUUAGAUGGCUGCUUUGCUAUCGGGCUGCACUGUCUCACCCGCCAGGUGGCCGAGGAGGCCGUCGGAGGACCACAAAGCUGCAAGUGGCUUUCCUGCGGCCUGCAGGGAACAGGUGGAGGACACUUGGAAGGGCACCCACCCCGGGUCUCACAGGAGUCUGCACCCGCAGGUCACACUGGCAUUAGCCCCUCAUCCUCUGGAGUUCAUCUCAUCCAGGCGAAGACAGCUGGCUGGCCUCAGAGGGUGAGACGCAACUCGAGGGUAAAAACAUUUUUACAGGGCAUGGACACAAAAGUGGCCUUUACCUCUGGAUAAGCUUUUAAAACUUCCCAUUUACAUGUAAAGGUGUACUUUCUAUGUGCCACCAAGAAACCUAAAGUGAGUAAAAGGUGUUUCACUUUAAUCAAGUUCCCCAAUGAGGGGGCACAGCUCUGAAAAGCACUGUCACAACAGGAGAUUCGAGGGUGCAUGCAAAGCAAUGUUUCUAGAAAAUGCCAAAGGAAACAGACACAACUCCAGUGUGGACUCCCGCUUCCCUGCACUGCUGCUCCAUCCUCAGGGCGGAGGCCACAUCGUCCAGCUAGCUGUGAGAACCUCAUCAUGCUCCUUGAUUGUGUGCAGCAGGUGUCUGCUGAAGUCCUCCACACUCUGCCUGUGAGAAAACUGUACUACAGAAAGGUGAGCACCUUGCCCAAAGUUACGCAGAAAGUGAAAAAACAAGAAUUCUAACCCAGACAAGUAAGUUGUAUAAGCAAAUGAGGCUAAUAGAGAUGCCAACCAGGUGUUCAAAGGGUUAUAGUUACUUCUGGAAGUGAGGUGAGGCUCUGUAAUAGCUAAGACGUGAACCUGGUUCUCCAGGGUAGAGACAAGAGGCAACAAGAGAAGGGACUCUGCAAAGAAACCAGCAAUAGGUUGGGAACACAGGGAUGGAGAGCAGCCACGAGUUUACCUAGGUUGAAUUUGGAAAGUCUGUGCAGAGAAAGAUGCAGGUCCCACUGGGCAUGGUGGCUCACACCUGUAAUCCCAGCACUUUGGGAGGCCGAGGCAGGCGGAUCACUUGAGCCCAGGAAUUUGAGACCAGCCUGGGCAACAUGGUGAGACCCCAUAUCUACAAAAACUACAAAAAUUAGCUGGGCAAGGUGGCAUGCACCUGUGGUCCCAGCUACUUGGGAGGGUGAGGUGGAAGAAUUGCUUGAGCCCAGGAGGUGGAGGUUGCAGUGAGCCAUGAUCAUGCCACUGUACUCUAGCCUGAGCAACAGAGUGAGACCCAGUCUCGGGAGAAAGAGGGAAAGAAAGAAGGGAGAGAGGGAGGGAGGUAGGGAAGGAAAGAAGGAAGGAAGGAAGGAAAAAGAAAGAAGAAAGAAGGAAGGAAGAAAGGAAGGAAGGAAGGAAGAAAGAAAGAGAAAGAAAGAAAGAAAGAAAGAAAGAAGAAAGAAAGAAAGAAAGAAAGAAAGAAAGAAAGAAAGAAAGAAAGAAAGAAAGAAAGAAAGAGAAAGAAAGAAUCAUGCAGCUCCCUUAUUCCCCAGGCAUUCACUGAGCACUUAGUGUGUCAUAUGCAGGCUUUUAGGUUUAGGGUCCUGGGCAAUGAUACAGACAAGACAAACAGAGUCUCCUCCUUCAUGGAACUUACAUGAGUGGGACGGACAACAAACAAAUGGUCCAGACGAUUUCAGAUAGUGAUGAGUGUUCGGAGAACACUAAGCAGAAUGAUCUGAGUUUGCAACGGGCAUUGCAAUGCCUGCUGGGCUCCUUACCCCUCAGGACCUUUCCACUGGCUGCUCUCAAAGGCUGAAUAACCUUUGCCCUGUUGCUGCAGGGCCAGAUUCUCUUCUUGCAGGAUUCCUUUGACUAAACUGUCACCUUGUCAAAGAGGUCUGAUGCCGACUAAAAGUUCUCUGUUACUGGGCGUGCAGAGAGAAGCCUAUUGUGGCUGUAAGGAUGGGUGAAGGAGAAGGGCACAAAGUGGACAGCAGAAGCAGGAGCUGUCACACAGGCCUGGCCCAUCAUGGUGGAGAGUUUGGAUUUCAUUCUAAGCCAAAUGGGAAGUCAUUUUUCUUCUAAGCACAAGAACAACAUGACUGAAUUUAUGCUUUAAAUGAGCCACUUUGACUGCCCAGUUUCUCAACCACAUAGUCGAUAGAUAUAUAGAUGUAUAGAUGGGUAGGUUGGUAGACAGACAGACAGACAGACAGACAGACAGACAGGCAGACAGAUAGAUGUAUAUGUAGGUAGAUAGGUAGAUAGAGAGAUGAAUAGGUAGGAAGGUAGAUAGAUAGAUACAUAGAUACAUAGAGAGGUGUAUAGGUAUAGGUAGGGAGGUAGAAAGAGAGAGAGAUGUAUAGGUAGGUAAGUAGAUAGAUGUAUAGACAGAUAGAUAUAUAGAUAGAUAUAGAGAUAGAUAGAUGAUAGAUAGAUAGAUAGAUAGAUAGAUGUCUAUAGGUAGGCAGUUAGGUAGAUGGAUGCACAGAAGGAUGGACAGAUGGAUGGAGGGAUGGAGGGAUAGAUAUAGAUAGAUUUGUGAAUAUAGAUACCUAUCUGUCUCUCUCUAGCUAGAGAUAAAAUAGACAAGUGGCUUCAUGCAUCAGUAGCAUUGAAAGACACCUCGAAUGUGGCCUUACUUCAAGGUGAUGGAAUUUCUUUUUAAGCUCAGCUUCUACUUCCCUUCUGAGGAAGUUCAUGACAGGGAGCUGCUGCAACUGAUGUGACUUUCAACUCUAAUAUCCCGAUGAUGUAAAUGCACUGAUCAGCUCAGCAGGAUUUAAGGUCUCAUCCGCUGAGCAGUGCCUCCUCCCGAUUCAGCACGUCCCUGGUGCCGACUUUCUGCACGUGUUCACUUUGAGGCUGCAUUGUGGGCCUGCAAGAAAUGCAAAGCUGGUUGAGGCUUUAUUCAAUUCAAAUUCAAGCUGUUAAAUCGAGGCUCUCAGACUCCUGCUGCCUGGCCAGUGGAGAAAUUAACUUUCACAUAUGGCUUUGGGAUUUCUCUCUGUCAUCCUGGUCGACGUGUUCUCUCAUUUUUCUGAAGUCUGGGACCUCAACACAGACAUCUGGGUGAAGGCCUUGACAGCAGCGCUGGUGCAAAAUGAAUUGUCACAUCACACCCAACGUUCUCAACCUUUAGAAUCUGAAAGUAAGAAAAACACCUCAAACAUUGAUUCUGAGUAAUCAGCACAGAUUUCUAAAAGAAACUUUAUGGGAUGCUGAGACAUGAAUAAAAACAACUUUAUUCCUUUGGAAAGGACAACCCACAUGCUAAGAAGAUGACACUACACGUUGUUAUAGCCCGAAAGGCCCUCUUUCCACAGGGGAGCAGUGAAAAGUAGAGGUUGCCCAUGUGGAUUCCCAAGUCAGAUAGAUGUGGAUUCAGAUCCCAGCUCUGCUGCUUGCUACCCAAGAGACCAUGGACUGUGGACUCUUUAGGUCUCAGGGUUUUUGUUUGUUGUCUGUUUUUCACUUCCAAAACCAGAAAAUGAGAAGAUAUUUUCCAUAAGAUGGCGGUGGUGAGUAAAUGUAAUUAUAUGUCUAAAGCUAUGGGCAUGAAAGCUUGGCACACAUUUAAGUAAGUGCUUGAUAAAUGUUAAUUCUUACAACUAUUGGUAUCAUUUAGAUUUAGGUUGCUGAGUUAGUGGGAAAUAAUGUCCUUAUCAUGUGAGGAAUCCCUAUUCUCAAAAGGGGUUAUUAUCAUUAGAAUGCUAACUGUUUUCAAAACAGCUAAUUGACCAUUUUAUUCAGAAGCACCAUCUGCUACUCAUUAGGGUCUAGGUUUCUGUCAGCUCACGGGUGCCCAUAUGUGAGUUGAUAACCCUAUUUCAGUCUUGGUUGUUGAAUCCUCAGUGUCUGCGGUUGACUGACUAUCAGGUAUUUGCAUCUCUGAAAGUAAUUUUCAGCAGUGAGUUUUUAGUUAGGUUCUUUGGUUACAGUUCUGGAUAAUUAACACUAAAAUGAGACAUCUUAGAAGGCUUUGGCUCAGAUAAUUGAGAGAAGUGAAUGUUGAACAAGAUUCAGGAAGGGAAGAGCUGGGAUACCCCAAUGUCUGGAUUUCAUGCUCUUUUUCUCCAAGCACAUCCACUGUGGGGCUUGGCCUCAAUCCCCUAGAUGUCUUCAAUAUAAUCUUCAAUUGUCAGGAGAAGAGAACUUGAUGGACCUUGCUUGGACAAAAUGCCUUCACCGCUAACUCAGUCAGCUAUGGCGAUGGGUCAAGGACCUGGUGGUUUUACAGAGAAGACCCUUGGUCAAAUCUUUGUGAAUGAAGCAACCAUUCUGAUGUUCAAUAACAGGGUAAGUGCUGGCCAAUGAUGUCAUUAUCGUCCAUCCUGUGGCUUCCACACAUCAGUGAUCUUAUUAGAUACCUGCAAUUUCAACCCACUAUAUCAGAAUUCCAUAGGAAUGAGUUGUUUUUAAAGUUCUUCAGAGUGAAUUUGGAUGCUCAGUCAUUAUAAAGAACUAUCUUCAUCCUACAAAGACUGGUGUUUUUUCUUUCCUUGUUUAUCUUGGAAUUUUUUUCCAAUUGCAGCCUUGAAAACCAUUUCCAAUAAUGUCAGAAUUUGCUUAAAAGAUUGUGAAAGACGGUAAUCUGGAUUGUAAUACUGGGUCAAAGAGACCAUACCAGGAGCCAACCAUGCUAAAUCUAACUUUAAAAUACAGAAUUACAAUGUUAAGACAAGUUCCAUAGAGUGAUAAGGUCUAUGUGGUACUUACUAUUUUACACACAUUUUCCUACACUUAGUGUAACUGUCUCCUAAUUAAAUGCAAUUGUUUUAAAUUAGCUGAUGUGUGUUUUAUGUGAUAUAGCUUUAUAUCCUAAGCCAGAAUAAAAAUAUUCUGAGAGUG